Molecule: ribosomal RNA, 292 nt
Filed under: uncultured bacterium
Lineage: Bacteria
Description: partial 16S ribosomal RNA
Rfam family: Bacterial small subunit ribosomal RNA
Source: RNAcentral
GUGCCAGCCGCCGCGGUAAUACAGAGGGUGCAAGCGUUAAUCGGAAUGACUGGGCGUAAAGGGUGCGUAGGUGGUUAUUUAAGUUAGAUGUGAAAGCCCCGGGCUUAACCUGGGAACUGCAUCUAAUACUGAGUAGCUUGAGUAGAAUAGAGGGGAGUGGAAUUUCCGGUGUAGCGGUGGAAUGCGUAGAUAUCGGAAGGAACACCAGUGGCGAAGGCGGCUCCCUGGAUUCAUACUGACACUGAGGCACGAAAGCGUGGGGAGCAAACAGGAUUAGAUACCCUCGUAGUCC